Molecule: long non-coding RNA, 509 nt
Organism: Malaclemys terrapin pileata
Lineage: Eukaryota; Metazoa; Chordata; Testudines; Emydidae
Exons: 2
Source: RefSeq, a predicted model, not a curated record
GCACCCCCUGCUCCGUCAGCGCUGUAUCCACUGUGAAUCGCUCCUCCGAGCCACUGUCCAGCACCCGCUCGCCCCACGCCCACACCUGCCAGGACCAGCGAGGGGACUUGGGACCCCAGCCAAUGGCCUGGAGGACAGAUACCCCUGGUGACCUGGAGGCCCAGCUCAGGAGUCACAGCGGUUCUGGCCAGUGGGAAGACAAUGGGCUGCGAAGAGAGGACCCCAGUGACCUGACCAGCCAGAGGGGGCCAGAGGACAGAAGAGAGGAGGGGAGGCCACGGUGACCCUGUUUACCUGGACAGACAACAAUGGACAGAGGCAGGGCUUGGGGCCGGUGAUAUCAGAUGCCCAGCUGGGAAGCAGGGGGGCUCGGGGCUGGAGAGAGAGAGAAGGCAGAGCCCACCUGGAUGAGGGGGAGACUGGGAUGUGCUGUGCUGAGGGAGACCAGGCCUUAGGCCCUGAGAGUUUCCUGUGCUGGGUUCAGACGCUCAAUAAACCCUCUGAUUUUA